Non-coding RNA from Ictidomys tridecemlineatus (thirteen-lined ground squirrel), 1169 nucleotides. The record is from RefSeq and is a predicted model, not a curated record. NCBI's taxonomy places the organism in Eukaryota, Metazoa, Chordata, Mammalia, Rodentia, Sciuridae.
UUCUGCGAAGGGGUCUGGGAAGUCGGGGCUUUCAGAAGCUGUAAGCUUCGUUGCAGCCCUCUUGCGCCUCUUAUCUACGGGUUUCAUCUUUCCAACUCUGCCGUUGGGUUCUGCACUAGCUUCCAUACUUGGAGACUGAGGAGGACAGGAACGUAGUGAAAGGAAGGAAACUAGAACUGAGACUGGUCGUGACUGAGAGACCUUUCUCUGAGAGACGGACUCUUAACUCUGUAGUAGUAUCUUGGCCUCUAACCUGCUCUUAACCCAUCCUUUUUUUUUCCUCGCUAGUCUUCUCCCCAUACUCUCACUUUCUCUCUGGUCUUAAUGAAAGGAAAUAUGGCAAGAUGAGCUAUGCAGAAAGGUGCUACAUAACGUGAUGUGUGAACCAGAAAGAACUGAAAAACAGUGAUAUCAGAAAGCCAUCUGCAAGAACACGUGCAUAAACUUUGAUUCUGUCUGUACUUAAUUUCUGUCCUACAAUAUAGCAGAAAGAAGUUCUUCAGAGCUUGCAAAAAUCAUCUGCCCUUAGGGGGUGGUUGCCACCUGUCCAGAUAAUCCCACUACAUAGUGAGGAGAUGAGGAAACUGAGGCCAGAAAGAUAAACUAACAGAACAUGCCAGAAGAGAAAUGCCAGAGUCAUGACAGCCAGGCACAUUGAGAUGAAAAUAGGAGGACUUGGUUUCACAUUCUGUGUCUACAAGUGCAGGAGCCACUUAGCGGUAUUUGCUGAGCUCUGAGUACUCAAAAGGUGAAGACAUCAACACAACCAGGAAGGUCGCAAGCUGGUUGAGUGGGAAUACAACCACGACCCAUCACAAAAUACAAAUAUACUGAGAUAUAUAUCUACAGGAAGGCAAAUUUAAUGCUGCCUGGAGGUAGGCCGAAGAACACAAUAGCCAUCCUUUGAGCUAUUCUUCUCCCCAUUUCUGAUUAUUAUUUUAGCAAAUGCUUACAUAUCUACAUGUAUCUAUCAGACUGUCUCUUAGAAAAGGAGAACUCAAGACUUUAAAUUAAAGGUAUGAGAAGAUCUGCUUCAGUGGGGACACUGCAGCCCAAAUCGGUGAUGAUUUCCCUAGGAACAAACCAAGUACCGAAGGCCUUCUAAUUGCCAGACGGUCAGGUAGUCCUAGGUACCAGGAUGGCACUUAGCCAGACCUCUGAAGCGAUCC